Molecule: ribosomal RNA, 877 nt
Filed under: uncultured Terriglobales bacterium
Lineage: Bacteria; Pseudomonadati; Acidobacteriota; Terriglobia; Terriglobales
Description: bacterial SSU rRNA
Rfam family: Bacterial small subunit ribosomal RNA
Source: RNAcentral
AGAGUUUGAUCCUGGCUCAGAAUCAACGCUGGCGGCGUGCCUAACACAUGCAAGUCGCACGAGAAAGGGUAGCAAUACCUGAGUACAGUGGCGCACGGGUGAGUAACACGUGAAUUAUCUACCUCCGAGUGGGGAAUAACUGAGAGAAAUCUUAGCUAAUACCGCAUAACACUUACGAGUCAAAGCAGCAAUGCGCUUGGAGAGGAGUUCGCGGCCGAUUAGUUAGUUGGCGGGGUAAUGGCCCACCAAGACGAUGAUCGGUAUCCGGCCUGAGAGGGCGCACGGACACACUGGAACUGAAACACGGUCCAGACUCCUACGGGAGGCAGCAGUGGGGAAUUUUGCGCAAUGGGGGAAACCCUGACGCAGCAACGCCGCGUGGAGGAUGAAAUAUCUUGGUAUGUAAACUCCUUUCGAUGGGGAAGAUUAUGACGGUACCCAUAGAAGAAGCCCCGGCUAACUUCGUGCCAGCAGCCGCGGUAAUACGAGGGGGGCAAGCGUUGUUCGGAUUUAUUGGGCGUAAAGGGUGCGUAGGCGGUUUGGCAAGUCUUAUGUGAAAUCUUCGGGCUCAACCCGAAGCCUGCAUAAGAAACUGCCGGGCUUGAGUAUGGGAGAGGUGAGUGGAAUUUCCGGUGUAGCGGUGAAAUGCGUAGAUAUCGGAAGGAACACCUGUGGCGAAAGCGGCUCACUGGACCAUAACUGACGCUGAUGCACGAAAGCUAGGGGAGCAAACAGGAUUAGAUACCCUGGUAGUCCUAGCCCUAAACGAUGAUUGCUUGGUGUGGCAGGUACCCAAUCCUGCCGUGCCGAAGCUAACGCGAUAAGCAAUCCGCCUGGGGAGUACGGUCGCAAGGCUGAAACUCAAAGGAAUUGACGG